This 253-nucleotide long non-coding RNA is filed under the name Elaeis guineensis (African oil palm). RNAcentral describes it as "long non-coding RNA (EGUI_LNC051402)". Lineage: Eukaryota; Viridiplantae; Streptophyta; Magnoliopsida; Arecales; Arecaceae. The record is from RNAcentral.
CCUAUAGAGAUCUAAAACCUUGAUUCUUAAUCAUUUUAAAAGAAAGAAGGAGACAAACAAUAUUAUUAAGUAACUAAUUAUUGAUAAAAAAGGCAUAUUCUUUUGGAUUAAUAUUAUCUCUUUCCAAUUAUCAUAUCUUUUUGAUACAAAUUAUUUUUAAUAUAUCAUGAGAUGAAUUUGAAGGAUUAGAUUCAAAGUUUACAAUACUACUUUGAAGGUAUAUACUGAUACCAUGAUCAUAUAGUGCUCGCGC